CCUACGGGAGGCAGCAGUAGGGAAUAUUGCUCAAUGGGGGAAACCCUGAAGCAGCAACGCCGCGUGGAGGAUGAAGGUUCUAGGGUUGGUAACCCCCUGUGAUAGAGAAGAUAAUGACGGUAUCUAAAGAAUAAGCACUGGCUAACUCCGUGCCAGCAGCCGCGGUAAUACGGAGGGUGCAAGCGUUACUCGGAAUCACUGGGCGUAAAGAGCGCGUAGGCGGGAUAGCAAGUCAGCUGUGAAAUGCUAGGGCUUAACCCGAGAACUGCAUUGGAAACUGGGAUGCUAGAGUAUGGGAGAGGUAGGUGGAAUUCUUGGUGUAGGGGUAAAAUGCGUAGAGAUCAAGAGGAAUACUCAUUGCGAAGGCGGCCUGCUGGAACGUAACUGACGCUGAUGCUCGAAAGCGAGGGGAGCGAACAGGAUUAGAUACCCGAGUAGUC
This 440-nucleotide ribosomal RNA is filed under the name uncultured bacterium. Its description in RNAcentral is "partial 16S ribosomal RNA". It matches the Rfam family "Bacterial small subunit ribosomal RNA", at positions 338 to 795 of the family's 1533-position model. The record is from RNAcentral.